RNAcentral lists this ribosomal RNA (473 nucleotides) under uncultured organism. RNAcentral describes it as "partial 16S ribosomal RNA". It matches the Rfam family "Bacterial small subunit ribosomal RNA", at positions 331 to 796 of the family's 1533-position model. The record is from RNAcentral.
GUACACUCCUGCGGGAGGCAGCAGUGGGGAAUAUUGCACAAUGGGCGCAAGCCUGAUGCAGCCAUGCCGCGUGUAUGAAGAAGGCCUUCGGGUUGUAAAGUACUUUCAGCGGGGAGGAAGGCGAUAAGGUUAAUAACCUUGUUGAUUGACGUUACCCGCAGAAGAAGCACCGGCUAACUCCGUGCCAGCAGCCGCGGUAAUACGGAGGGUGCAAGCGUUAAUCGGAAUUACUGGGCGUAAAGCGCACGCAGGCGGUCUGUCAAGUCGGAUGUGAAAUCCCCGGGCUCAACCUGGGAACUGCAUUCGAAACUGGCAGGGUAGAGUCUUGUAGAGGGGGGUAGAAUUCCAGGUGUAGCGGUGAAAUGCGUAGAGAUCUGGAGGAAUACCGGUGGCGAAGGCGGCCCCCUGGACAAAGACUGACGCUCAGGUGCGAAAGCGUGGGGAGCAAACAGGAUUAGAUACCCGUGUAGUCC